This 253-nucleotide ribosomal RNA is filed under the name uncultured bacterium. Its description in RNAcentral is "partial 16S ribosomal RNA". It matches the Rfam family "Bacterial small subunit ribosomal RNA", at positions 524 to 776 of the family's 1533-position model. The record is from RNAcentral.
UACGUAGGGUGCGAGCGUUGUCCGGAAUUAUUGGGCGUAAAGAGCUUGUAGGCGGUUUGUCGCGUCUGCCGUGAAAACCCGCAGCUCAACUGUGGGCUUGCAGCCGAUACGGGCGGGCUGGAGUUCGGUAGGGGAGACUGGAAUUCCUGGUGUAGCGGUGAAAUGCGCAGAUAUCAGGAGGAACACCGGUGGCGAAGGCGGGUCUCUGGGCCGAUACUGACGCUGAGGAGCGAAAGCGUGGGGAGCGAACAGG